RNAcentral lists this ribosomal RNA (464 nucleotides) under uncultured bacterium. RNAcentral describes it as "partial 16S ribosomal RNA". It matches the Rfam family "Bacterial small subunit ribosomal RNA", at positions 338 to 795 of the family's 1533-position model. The record is from RNAcentral.
CCUACGGGGGGCAGCAGUGGGGAAUAUUCCGCAAUGGGCGAAAGCCUGAAGGAGCAACGCCGCGUGAUCGAAUGAAGGCCUUCGGGUUGUAAAGAUCUGUUGACAGGGACGAAUGAGCAAUGCGAAUAGUUUUGUGUAUGACGGUACCUGUUUAGAAAGCUCCGGCUAACUACGUGCCAGCAGCCGCGGUAAUACGUAGGGAGCAAGCGUUGUCCGGAAUUACUGGGCGUAGAGGGCGCGUAGGUGGGCGCUUAAGUGAGGUGUUAAAACUUCGGGCCCAACCUGGGGACUGCACUUGAAACUGGGUAACUUGAGUGCAGGAGAGGAGAGUGGAAUUCCUAGUGUAGCGGUGAAAUGCGUAGAUAUUAGGAGGAACACCAGUUGCGAAGGCGGCUCUCUGGACUGUAACUGACACUGAGGCACGAAAGCGUGGGGAGCAAACAGGAUUAGAUACCCUGGUAGUC